This 73-nucleotide transfer RNA is filed under the name Candidatus Liberibacter americanus str. Sao Paulo. It matches the Rfam family "tRNA". From Rfam's summary of the family: Transfer RNA (tRNA) molecules are approximately 80 nucleotides in length. Their secondary structure includes four short double-helical elements and three loops (D, anti-codon, and T loops). Lineage: Bacteria; Pseudomonadati; Pseudomonadota; Alphaproteobacteria; Hyphomicrobiales; Rhizobiaceae. The record is from Rfam by way of RNAcentral.
GCCCAGAUAGCUCAGUUGGUAGAGCAACGGACUGAAAAUCCGUGUGUCGCUGGUUCGAUUCCUGCUCUGGGCA